GCGUUGUCCGGAUUUAUUGGGCGUAAAGAGCGUGUAGGCGGCCAGGUAGGUCUGCUGUGAAAACUCGAGGCUCAACCUCGAGACGUCGGCGGAAACCAUCUGGCUAGAGUCCGGAAGAGGAGAGUGGAAUUCCUGGUGUAGCGGUGAAAUGCGCAGAUAUCAGGAAGAACACCCGUGGCGAAGGCGGCUCUCUGGGACGGUACUGACGCUGAGACGCGAAAGCGUGGGGAGCGAACAGG
RNAcentral lists this ribosomal RNA (239 nucleotides) under uncultured bacterium. RNAcentral describes it as "partial 16S ribosomal RNA". It matches the Rfam family "Bacterial small subunit ribosomal RNA", at positions 538 to 776 of the family's 1533-position model. The record is from RNAcentral.